Butyricicoccus pullicaecorum 1.2 is the source of this 73-nucleotide transfer RNA. It matches the Rfam family "tRNA". From Rfam's summary of the family: Transfer RNA (tRNA) molecules are approximately 80 nucleotides in length. Their secondary structure includes four short double-helical elements and three loops (D, anti-codon, and T loops). The record is from Rfam. Lineage: Bacteria; Bacillati; Bacillota; Clostridia; Eubacteriales; Butyricicoccaceae.
GCUGUUGUAGCUCAGCAGGCAGAGCACUUCCUUGGUAAGGAAGAGGUCGACAGUUCGAAUCUGUUCAACAGCU